Molecule: ribosomal RNA, 1610 nt
Filed under: Helicobacter canis
Lineage: Bacteria; Pseudomonadati; Campylobacterota; Epsilonproteobacteria; Campylobacterales; Helicobacteraceae
Description: bacterial SSU rRNA
Rfam family: Bacterial small subunit ribosomal RNA
Source: RNAcentral
NNUUAUGGAGAGUUUGAUCCUGGCUCAGAGUGAACGCUGGCGGCGUGCCUAAUACAUGCAAGUCGAACGAUGAAGCUUCUAGCUUGCUAGAAGUGGAUUAGUGGCGCACGGGUGAGUAAUGCAUAGGUUAUGUGCCCUUUAGUCUGGGAUAGCCACUGGAAACGGUGAUUAAUACUGGAUACUCCCUACGGGGGAAAGUAGCACUCAAUAAUGCCCUUGUGGUGUUUUUAGCUGCACAGAGAGUGAAGGAAGUGUCGCAGAAGAUUCUAUAAGUUUAUAUGUAAUAAAUGUCAUAGAAUCCUGUGUGGCAAUUGCUUUGCUAUGUGUGUAUGAUAAGAAUAGCAUAAGGGUAUUAUUGAGUGCUCUCGCUAAAGGAUCAGCCUAUGUCCUAUCAGCUUGUUGGUGAGGUAAUGGCUCACCAAGGCUAUGACGGGUAUCCGGCCUGAGAGGGUGAUCGGACACACUGGAACUGAGACACGGUCCAGACUCCUACGGGAGGCAGCAGUAGGGAAUAUUGCUCAAUGGGGGAAACCCUGAAGCAGCAACGCCGCGUGGAGGAUGAAGGUUUUAGGAUUGUAAACUCCUUUUGUAAGAGAAGAUUAUGACGGUAUCUUACGAAUAAGCACCGGCUNACUCCGUGCCAGCAGCCGCGGUAAUACGGAGGGUGCNAGCGUUACUCGGAAUCACUGGGCGUAAAGAGCGCGUAGGCGGGAAAGUAAGUCAGAUGUGAAAUCCUGUAGCUUAACUACAGAACUGCAUUUGAAACUACUUUUCUAGAGUAUGGGAGAGGUAGGUGGAAUUCUUGGUGUAGGGGUAAAAUCCGUAGAGAUCAAGAGGAAUACUCAUUGCGAAGGCGACCUGCUGGAACAUUACUGACGCUGAUGCGCGAAAGCGUGGGGAGCAAACAGGAUUAGAUACCCUGGUAGUCCACGCCCUNAACGAUGAAUGCUNGUUGUUGCCCUGCUUGUCAGGGNAGUAAUGCAGCUAACGCAUUAAGCAUUCCGCCUGGGGAGUACGGUCGCAAGAUUAAAACUCAAAGGAAUAGACGGGGACCCGCACAAGCGGUGGAGCAUGUGGUUUNAUUCGAAGAUACGCGAAGAACCUUACCUAGGCUUGACAUUGAUAGAAUCCGCUAGAGAUAGUGGAGUGUCUAGCUUGCUAGACCUUGAAAACAGGUGCUGCACGGCUGUCGUCAGCUCGUGUCGUGAGAUGUUGGGUUAAGUCCCGCAACGAGCGCAACCCUCGUCCUUAGUUGCUAGCAGUUCGGCUGAGCACUCUAAGGAGACUGCCUUCGUAAGGAGGAGGAAGGUGAGGACGACGUCAAGUCAUCAUGGCCCUUACGCCYAGGGCUACACACGUGCUACAAUGGGGCAUACAAUGAGACGCAAUACCGCGAGGUGGAGCAAAUCUCUAAAAUGUCUCUCAGUUCGGAUUGUAGUCUGCAACUCGACUACAUAAAGCUGGAAUCGCUAGUAAUCGUGAAUCAGCAAUGUCACGGUGAAUACGUUCCCGGGUCUUGUACUCACCGNNCGUCACACCAUGGGAGUUGUAUUCGCCUUAAGUCGGGAUACUAAAUUGGUUANCGCCCACGGCGGAUGCAGCGACUGGGG